UUUUCUGUGGCUAAAUAAUCACCUUUUGUAAGCUUCAAGUGCUUCCAGUUUCUUUGCCAGGCCCUCAGCAUCAGCUUUUACUUGCUGCAAUAUAAGUUCGGACCAGACAAUGGGGGCACUGCGGUCAUGCCAACAGAAGCAGCCAAUCCAAUACCUAUGCAAUUCCUUCUAGGUCACAAUUCACAUUAAAAGUUUUACAAAACACUUUCAGCAUAUUUUUAAGUUUUGAAAUACAUAUUCCACUGUUGCAUUCUUGUUUAUUCAA
This is a long non-coding RNA of Zea mays, 265 nucleotides long. RefSeq lists it as uncharacterized. The record is from RefSeq and is a predicted model, not a curated record. The transcript has 2 exons. NCBI's taxonomy places the organism in Eukaryota, Viridiplantae, Streptophyta, Magnoliopsida, Poales, Poaceae.